Molecule: small RNA, 977 nt
Filed under: Oryza sativa Japonica Group (Japanese rice)
Lineage: Eukaryota; Viridiplantae; Streptophyta; Magnoliopsida; Poales; Poaceae
Description: sRNA Os08g0153225
Source: RNAcentral
CCACUGCUCCCCACAAGAGCCACAACUUUGCCUGCCGGUAUGGAUAGUGAAAAACUUCUGAGAAUUGGCUUGUCGACUCUGGAUGGAUACAUGAAAUCCACCUCUCGAAUUUCAAUAUUUCCAGUGACCUUUUCUAGGAUUGUUCCAUUUGAUUCAUAACUUAUCGCUGGAUUUCUAUUGAUAACCUCAAAUACUUCUUUGCCAGCAGCUUUUGCUUGGCUGAAGGACUGAAGAUCUGGUGCUGCAUUUGAGAUAUAUCUGAAACCACAUAUAAAAAUAAUGACCCUGUCAACUUUAUAGAAGUAAAAUGUUUGGAAGUAGUCUAAUUUAUGAUAACCAUGGAAUACAAACUAGAAAGAUAGUUCUUUAUUACAUUGCGGCAGAGAGGAUGUUAAUGACAGCUGCAAUUCAGACCUACUUGGUUCUAAUAUUUCAUCCAUUUGUAUAGGUACCUGUUCUACAACUGUGGUUGCUGCAGAGACCAAAGCUAUUCUUUUCAUCGAUGCGUCAAUCAUCAUUUUUGCAUAUGUUGCGCCAACCAUGAGGAGCAUAGGAACAACCAGCAUGGAGAGCAUACCCACCUCCCAGCAGCAGACGAAAGCAACAAUGAUGGAAACUAAGAAUGUGGAGAAGUUUGACAAAAAGUGACCAAGCUGAGGGAAAAAGGUAAGCUCAUGUUCAAUAUUUGAUUGCCACAUGAACGUUGUAGCACUUUAGUUUGAUUUACUAAAACUUGCAGUGAAUGUUUAUGCUACAAUCGUAUACCUUUUCACCAAUUGCAUCUUGUAUAGCACUCAUAUGGUUGGUUGCUCCAGCCAUGACGUUUGCUGUGGUUAGGUCAGUAUCAAAAGCUCCGAUAUCUUGACUCAGCACUGAUCUCAAGUAUGCCAUCCGCAUGCGUGACAUUUGUCUCUGACUGGUAUACAUCCAACAUGUAAUUUCUGCGGAAGGAUCAUUGUCGCAAAAAGGUAAGAUGG